RNA transcript from Cygnus olor (mute swan), 8339 nucleotides. It is a transcript of the gene named serine palmitoyltransferase small subunit B-like, with no coding region annotated. The transcript has 4 exons. Lineage: Eukaryota; Metazoa; Chordata; Aves; Anseriformes; Anatidae. The record is from RefSeq and is a predicted model, not a curated record.
GAGCCCAGCGCUGUGGGGCUGCAGGCGUGUUUUACAAUUGCCUCAUCAGGGUCAGCAGUGCCUGUCAUCGCUUCCAAAGCAGGAUGCUUCAGGAGUCAGUGUGCCCUGUCGCUUCUUCUUGCAACACCAGUUGGACUCCUCACUCCGCAAUGCCUGACAGAGGCACAAAGGAUGUUUGUUGUUGCUCAUAGGAGUUAGGAAGGAGACCCGCGAAGUAAAGGGAAGGUGCCUCCGAUGUCCUGGAGUGGUGCUGGGGUGGCGGGAGGAGGGCAGGGCUAUUGCGUUUUGUCUUGACCUGCUGCAGAAGAAGGGCACAGACCACACUCAGCUCCGGCACCACAAAAGAAGCGCAGCCCCUUGUCUGCGGACUCGUAACAUUUCUCAUUUAACUUUUAAGCAUUAGCAAUGUACCUCAGGAUAAGCGGAUCAACUGAGCAGAAACAUCUUAAUGUUAGAAUUAAUCCUUCACUUUAGAACUAAAACCAGAUAGCUGUGCAGAUAAAACUGUUUCUCCUUUCUGCUCCUCGCCGUAAUGGAAAAAGUAAAGUAUUCAAGAAAUAAUUUCAGAGCUUGGCUAAACAUUAGCAGCACUUUCUGUGUAACAAAUACGUGAUGCUAUGGUUUUGGAAAUGGAACUGGAGACGGCUGAUGCACUUAUAUGAGAGGAACUGGGCUACCAGCCAAAAUCUGAGUUCUGCUAGUUAUGUUCGCAACCAGGAAUUAAUUCCUGAAUUGAUGCAUCUGAGGAUAGAAACGCAAACUAUAGCAUAAUGUGCAGAAUCUGUGGGCUGUGUGCAUAUUUAUCUCCUCCUUAUAUUGCUUUUCUUUAUCUGGCCUCUCUAGAUCUGAAAAUUCACAGGAGUCUUGACUCACAAUGCUCUUUGGAAGUGAAGCAAUCUAUAUUUACAACCUAAGUCCUGUGUAAAAGGUGGAAGCCCUCACUCUCCCUGUGCCUUGGAGCCUGGUGCCCUUUGAAGAGUUUCCUUUCGCAAGGGCUGGUUCAAUCAGUACGCAUGAAACGGUAGAACCACGGUGAAAAAUCCUAAACACUCUCAUACUUCUUUCCCCUAAUGAUUAAGACAUGAAACAUAUUACUUGUAAGUCUUUGAGAUUAUUAGUUUUUAAAUCUUCAAUGUUUUCUACCUGAAACUACCGGUAACAAGCACCCUCAAGAAAAUCAGCACUACUGAGAUGUAAGGAGGAGUCUGGCAAAUUCCAGAGAAGGAGCUGAAGCAGGGGCAGUAAAUGUUGACUUGUGUAAAAUACCGUUUUGAGACAGCACACAGUUCUCUUAUGCUAAUUUGGAUUCUAUUCAGCAAGUACAUGGCUAUGCUGAAAAGCAACGUACCAAAGCUAUGGGCACGGUCCACCUGCAGUGCUCUGUGUGACGGCAGCAGCUGGCCUUCUGGGUUUGUCACUCCACCUGAGGUGAAAAACACAGGCUCAUGUCAUGAAGGCUUUGGGCUUCCCUCGCUGCCUCUGACAGAACGAGGCAGCUGAGCGUCUUCCUGGAAAAGUGACGAAACACUAACGGAGCACAUUGGGACUGCAGCUGUUGCCACCCGGAGCCUAUGUAUAGAAGUGCUCUGCUCCACACACAUGUGGCAGACAACUGUAUUUGCCGGCAGCACAACUGAAGUUUGCGUUACCUUUCUGUCAUUGCUCUAGACUCAGUUGCUGCAGGAGGACACCUGAGUCAGCUUCAGAGUUCUUAAUUAAAGGUGGAAUUUCGCUGAAGUAUAUAGCUGAAAUGUGUACUCAGACUGUUCACCAGAGGUGUAUACACUGCUGAUGUGAGUGAGGAGGGGAGAAGCAACAAGAGGAGAAGGCAGCGCAGGAGGAUACGAUGUCCCUGACCAGUGCUAAUGCAAAGCCUCUGAUUCCCAUCCUGUGCCACUCAACUGUGGUAUUACUUUUCUUAGGGCACACUAUUUCUCACAAAUAUGACUGUUACUGCGUGUAUUGUUUGCUGUAUGCACACCUAUUUUUCUAGUAAAAGCUGAAUGAAAUUUCUUCUCCUCAGCGGGAACAGUGAGAGCUCUCCUUAGUACUUCAGCCUGUUUUCAUACAUCCUGUGCUCAAGGUCUGCAAGAUAGCUAGUGUUGUAUCAGCCCUAUUUUAAAUUAAAACUCCGAAAUGAUUCUAGAAUUACAGAACAGGAAAAUUAUGGUCUUAGGAGAGCUCCCCAUUUAAUCAGCUCCUAGCCGCACAUUGUGCACUCAGCUCUGCAACUCAGUUGUGGCUUUGUAUUUGUACAGUUCUACAUUUUAAACUCUUUUUAGACAGCUUUUCCGUUUCUGUUAUAAUUGCUUUGCACGUGAAACAACAUCAGUUACAUGUUGAGUGAUACCAUAGCAUAGGCAACACCAGAGAAAAGAACUGUAACUGCUGAACGUUGCCCGGAGAAGCACCAAGAGAGAAAGCACAGAGCUUAGCUGCUUAAUCCAGGAUCACGUAGGCUUCCUUGUCUUUUCUAUCCCUAAAUGCACCAUGCUCAGUUGAGAAAGGGGCAGGAGAGCCUGCCAGGUGAAGGCACAGCAGUAAUACAGACUGGAGCUGGGAGAUGUGGUGACUUUGAACCACGCUGACCUCCAGUGAGAGACCAGCCAUGCAGGGACCAUGACAGCAGGCUGGCCUACAGGAGAGUGGUUGAUAUACUGGUGAGACACGCUGGUGGGCUGAAGAAACUGCUGCUUUGCUGGUUGCCCAUGGAUCAGUGGCAGCUAAAUAAAAUACUGUGUGAGCUGCUUCUUACUUCGCUAAGAUCUCAAUUGCAGCUAGGAAGAUCUGGGCGCACUGCUCUUCCCAACUGGCACAUUUCACUGCCUAAAUUUUAUGAAAUGCUCAAUUCCUGAAAUUUUAAAUGGUAUGAUAUCAUCUUACAUCAUGCCAAAAUAGUAUGUCCCUGAUCCUUCUGGGCCUGCUAUGCGUAUUCCUUAUGCUUUUGGAGACCAUUAGUGUCCGUGGUUUCACUAACUUAAACAUGCGUCUUGAUGUAGACUUAAAACAGUUCUUGAACUGGUCUAACCAGGUGUGAAGCACCAUGCUGGGAAAUUGGAUGAUUCAGGCAGACAACAAUGUAAUAAUUAAAACACGUUAUUUGCAUUACAAAUGGCAGUAAGUCAAGCCCGUAUAAGCCGGAGCCAAGACACAUUCCUUAUCAAGAUACAGUCCUCGUCAAGGUACAGUCCUCAUCAAGAUACAGUCCUCAUCAAGAUACAGCCCUCAUGAGUGUUGUUCUCCUGUAGGUGUCUGACAGCCUGAUUCCAGGGGUGAUACCACGGCAGCUAAACCUGUCUGGUGCCAGCGUUUGUGGAUCCCCAUGCCAGAUAUUUUACAUCAUGCAGAGCAGAGCCUUUCGAAGAAUUGGCUUCUUCUUCACGACAGGGCAUUUUUCCUCCUUUCCAAGAACAGCGGCGUGUGUUCUGCCGGUUCUUUGGUGCAGCUGGACUGUGUUGGCAGGUCAGGCUAACAUUUCGCUGUAUGAGCCGCUCCUUAUCGCUGGCUUUCUUCGUGCUGUGAAGCUGGUGCUCAGGUGUCCUGAGGACGCAGGAUAACUAUCAGAAGCUGCAGAUGUUCAUGGGAGGAGGUUGGCGCCACCGUUUGGGAGCAGAUUAUCCGGUGGUGUGACUCCACAGCAGGGUAAGCUCAUCUUUGCCUGGGCUGCCUUGGCCUGCCCAGCCUCCCACCAUCUCCUGCCCCCUGGGAUGUGUUUCCAUCCCCUCCUUCCUCCAGCACCUGCGGUUGUGUGAUCUGGUGGUGAGAAGAGCGACACGUCCGUGUCCUGCCAGGCCUGGCCAGGUUCCUGAUUUCAAGGGAGAGGGCAGGAGGAGGUUGCUGUGGAACAGAGCCGUGCUACGGACUCAAAGCUGCAGCUGCAAGAGCUCAAACUGAGGCACAGGCAGGCGCUGCCUGUCUCAGGGAGGUGCAGAAGGCUGCCUGCCUCCCCGGUGUGUUAAUAACUCGUCAGCAACCUUGUUUCUGGAGUCUGUGAUACGAGCGACAUGAGGAAGAAGCCCAGAGCUGGCCUUCCAAAUGGUGCUGGAGCCAAAAGGGAUCAAAGGAACUCAAGGAUACUUUUAUGACAAACCCAACUUGUCUGUGUCUUGCUUUGUGUGGGACAGACGCGGGGCAGAUCAGAGAGAAAACUGAUCACCUUAAGUUUCUGCUUCAAUUAUUUUCCACUGUCUUGGUUUUAAAUGGACAGAUAAAUCAUUUACCGCAGUGUUCAGGUGUGAGGCAGAGCCAUUUCAGGCAUUUUCAGCUUGAUCUCCUACAGAAAUUAGGCUUAUUUUCUUCCCCCACCUCUGGCUCUACACUCCCCCGUACCACACCUUUUAACCCAGGACCGAUUUCAGUUAGGCAUGGAAAAGAAACACUCAGUGUGGGUUUGCUCCUUAGACCUCAGAGAAUCCCAUUGUAAGGCACAAAAUAAGAGGAAACAAAACGAAGUUCUGCUUAUGGAGCUAUCUGCUAAAUUCUGCAUAAACCAAAAGUCUCUGCUUUAUCGUACGGGGAAGCUCACUGAACUGCAAAAGAGGGGGCUGGCCAUUUCUUUUGAAUGUUUCUGGUCUGAUCUUUUAAUUCAUGUUUCCCAUGCUAAAAAGAAGGAGCGCUGUGUCACUGCGUGACCUUUUAUGUGGCUGGGUUCAACUUUGUUUGACUGGAAACCAGAGUGAGCAGCAGUAAAAAGGCAUUUUGGUAUUUAGUUACCUGCCUGCCUCGGUACAGACCUGGGCAACAACAUUAAAAGGCCUGAAAACCACCAGAAUCUGUUGUUUCUGGUAGCUGCAGGAUCGGCUUGUGCAGAAGCUGCCCGGAUGUUCUAGCAGCCAGUCUGUCUAACGUCCCUAAAUCCCGGCCUUUCAGGUGCUCACACAAUUGGAGAGAGAAGUGGGACUGAGAAGGGGACACCGCGGUCAGCUCAGCAGUACGCUGCAGGAUCGAGGUGUAGGGCUCAGGGAGACAGAGCCCAGCAACCUGCUUUUUGCAUUCAUGUCGCCAGUUUCUGUUCUACCAGCAACUGCAGCGACCGGUUUGUUAAUUAAAUAAUCUCAGAGCUGGACACUGCUAGUUAAGGAGAAGGAAGGCUAGCUGUUGAUGGCUCUCAGGAAUUUGCAAUAAAGCUUUCAUGACAUUACCCUGCACUUCUCACGUUCCCCUUUACCAGAUUUAUGUAAAUUUGUGUUGAUGCAACGCUGUGAGUCAGUGGCAGUUUUCUUGGAGCACAGAUAAGUUGACUCCAGAUAUGCGUCUCUGUCGGAGAGCUGCAGCCAAGGCUCCGCACGGCUCAGAAAAGGUCCAAAAGGGGAAGGGGGCAGCCCCUCCGGGCAGGGGGCUCUUUGGGAAGGUCUCUGCUGCUCCUCGGAGCUGCAGCAAAUCCACUCUGCAAAAAAAAGGCGUUAUCCUUGCAUCUCCAGUCACCCAUCUGUGUAUUACCAAGUACAGCGUGGUUGUUUGUUUGUUUGUUUUUAGUCUUGAAGGCUAUUUCUAUUCAUUCUCUGUGAGAUAAAAGGACCUUAAAGCUUGUAGGCUAAAACUGGCAUAAAAGGUAAGCGUUCCAGGCACGUUUUGUACUCCGAGUGAAGCCACACACGUGAUUAUGAAUCGUGGAAAGUAUUCACGAGUUCCUAUUUCCCCUUGGGGUAGAAGCUGGGAGAAGCAGCAGGAGUGGCUGCACAGAAAGCACAGAGGAGAGCGUGCCUGGGGGUUUGCACCGGAGCUGCUCACAGCGUCACGUCACGAAUGGAUUCUGCUGACCCGAACAUUUCAUUCCUGUGAGCAAGCCUCUGCUUCUGCGCUACCACCGAUCCCUUCCAUGGCUUCUGGCUUCAGGGAAAAACUGAGAUGUUUUGAAGCUGUUAGAGGCAAAGCAAACCCAGACAAGUCUUCGCUCUCUGCAUUGUUUAAACUCGGGGAAUUUGUUGUUGAAAAAAACAGUGGAGAAAUAUUGAAAGCAACGAACGGAUCUGUACAGUUCUGCACUUGAGCGUGGCAGGCGUACCUCCCAGGGCUCCCCUGGCUCUCAUGCAAACGCUUUUCUGAGAGGACUUGGAGUGAGGAGGCACCUGCCUCGGGCUGCCCUGCCGCUGCCCUGCCAGUGCCUCCUGCUAAAGGAACGAGAAGAGGCUGAUUCCCCUCGCUGGGAGGGUGAGUGAAAUGAAGCAGGACGCUGGCCUGCCGAAAUGUGGGCGCUGUGGGAGCCAGACGUCGCUUCUCCUGUGCAUAAAACCAGCAGCGCUGCUUCAAUGUCGUGUUCCACUAACAGGUGUUUGGAAAAAACCCUAAAAAUGCCUGCUCCCACCCCCAGUGCUCUGUUGCAGUCCCCAGCUGAGAAGGUCUAGUGGAAAACAGUUGAUGGGAUGGGGCAUCGUAACUGCUGCCAGAGGCACUGGUUUACCACUUCUGAAAUUUCUGUGUGAACCGGACAGGUUUUGAAUAAAAAGCCUUAUUUUGUUGGAAAGCACGGAAAAAAAAAGGUUGUGGGAGUAGGUCGGCAUUUCCUAACAGAUCAGCUCAGGCUGUUUGGUAAGGAAGGGAAGAAAGAAGGUGCGGCAAAGAUGCCUGCGACCUUGCUUGUGGCAUAUUCUUCCCAAAUGAGGCUGAUUCAUAUUUGGAAAUGAUUUGACUGCAGGCAGAUAGUUUAGAACAUAAUGUAUUAUGCAGAUCUCUACCUAAUUUACUUGUCAAAUUAGAUCAUUAAAAUGCUUCGAGCACUCAUGGCUUGGUUUAAUUCCGCAGCAUUUUUAAGGCAAACUUACCGCCUUUCCUCACACAAACCUUGGCCACAUCUUCUGUCCACCCUGGUGCUCCUGGAGCAGGACUGACGGAGAGACACGGGCACGGAGAGGACUGGGGGCUCUUUGAAAGGGAUUUCAAGCCGAGGCUGCAGGAGGGGGUGGCUUCACCCGAGGCUUUCCUGUGACAUGAUAAUUGAGCUGCAUUUUUGUGGCUCCAUGACUCUGACACCAUAGUUUUGCACAGACGUUAAAUUGCACCUUGUAGGAACCUGGGCAGCUGCGCUGGGAAGUCCCACAAGAAGCAGAGGGUGAUUUUUUGAGAUUCGCAAUGAGGGAAGGCACGAACUGUAAGCAUUUUUGGCGGAUUCUCCUAAGGAGUAUUCCAGCCUCGCGUGUUCCUACCUCCCUGCAGAUCUUCAACUUUGACUCCGUACAAAUUAUCAAAUGACUGCUGUCAUGAGCGCGGUGCCGAGCCAGACGAUGGGUGUCCUUGUUGCAUAAUGCAGAGCUGUGGCCAGGGGAGUUUUUAGCAAUAGUGGGGAAGGGCGGGGUGUGGAGGCCACACUCUGUAAUUGAGGAUCAAAGGUAACCGUCUCUGCUGCUCAAUGUGUGGGGCAGCCGCUCAGCUGCAAAAGGCAGGAGUGUCGGGAAGCAUCUCACAUCCAAACCUUUUGUCACCAGGGAGAAGUGAAGAGGGAAGGCUUUCGGCAGCUGCUCAAAGGCGAAGAUGGAUUUCAAGAGCAUGAAGAACUAUCUCUACUGGCUGUACUGCCAGUUUGAACUCAUCACCUGCAGCUACCUCAUGGAGCCCUGGGAAAAACUGCUUUUCUACACUUUUAACAUCACCAUGUUAGUGAUGAUAUCGUACACCGCUUACAUCUUUAUCCCCGUCCACAUUAGCACGGCUUUUCAAUUCUUCUUGCACUUGCUUGGAAACCAACAUGAGAACGCUGUUUCUAUCGUGAAGUAACAUUGGCAACCUGGUGCUGACUUUUGGAUCAAGGAAGUGUUUUUCUUAACACUCCGUUUCUGUUUAGAAAGACAGGUUCAGGGUGUGUGCAAACACUGUUCUAUUCCGCAGUAUCUCUUAGUUUUCUUCUGUGUUCUGGGACUCUGUGACAGCAAAUUAUUUUGCCAAAACAAUUUCAAUCAGUCCUUGUUUUUAUCAUUUGACUGACUGCUUUUUAAGGAGCUUUCAGUUUUAAAGACUGGCUGGAGUUAUGGAGCUGGGUUUGGUACAGAAACGACUGUGCUGCAUAUAUUGUUAUUCCGGGGAGAGCUGCUUGGAUAUGGAGCUUUCAUCUUCAGAAAUUACAUGGCAUGUAUUUGUUCUGGUCUGCCACAGCUUUGCUGACGGGAAAGAUGUAUACAUGAAAGAUUUUGUACGAUAUUAGACAACCAUAAGCUGCUUCUAUGUAACUAGUCUUGGUAUGUAUGUAUAUAUGUGAUGAUUUUAGUUUUUAUUCCGUUUGCCUCAAUUAUUUAGCAGUGAAUUAUUUGAGUGGUUCAGUAUCAUUACGUAAACAACGCAGUUGAUUUAUUGAAAAUGUGGGGGUUAAUUCCAUACAAAUUUAAAAUAAAAUUUUGAUUUUCUUGGAC